CUCCAUAGGAUGGAGCACCGAUUCCCCAUGGCUGGGAGCCAGUGACUCCCUGCUCGGGUCCUGUCCUUGCUGUGGUACCCCAGCUGUUUGCCUUUCUCUAGGCCAUCCUCUUUUGGUCACCAGGAGGCCUUGGCAGGGUGGUGCCAGAAAGCAUGAGCUGGGCUGCCCAAACUCCUUCACUCGAAAUCUGUGAGACCUAGGCUAAUUCAGUGUCCUGAAGGUUUGGGAGGGAAAAAUCAAAAGCUUGGUUUUCAACAAAUUCAAUUAGACAUGCCUGUGGAACUCUCCAGCGGGAAGCUACAUCUGGCUGUAAAACUUGGGAGAUUGGUAACCUAAAGGAAAGAGAGAAAUUCUGAAAAAAAGUACGACUUCUAUAUCAAGGUUGAAUCAGAAAGAAACAGAAAACCUAAACAGACCAAUAAACAAUAAAGAGAUUGAGGUCAUAAUUUAAAACCUCCCAACAGCUGGGUGCAGUGACACAGGCCUAUAAUCCCAGCAGUGUGGGAGGCUGAGGCAGAAGGAUUGCAAGUUUGAGGCCAGCCUCAGCAACUUAGAGAGACCCUAUCUCAAAAACUAAAAGUGAAAAAGGACUGGGGAUGUAACUCAAUGGUAAAGCACCCUGGGUUCAAUCCCUAGUAAAAAAAAAGCAGACUCUCUCAACAACGAAAAGCAGCCCAGAACCAGACAGCUUUUAUAGCUGAACUUGACAAUGUCAAGGAGGAAUUAAUACCAAUAUUUCCUAAAUUCUUCCAAAAGCCAUAAUACUUCCUAACACAUUUUACAAGGCCAGCAUCAGCUUGAUACCUGUGCCAGACAAAGACAACACAAGAAAAUGAAACUACAGGCCAAUAAUUCUGAUGAACAUGGAGGCAAAACUCCUUGAUAAAAUAUUAGCAAAUCAAAUACAACACAUCAAAAAGAUGGCACAUCAUGAUCAAGUGGGAUAUAUCCCUGGCAUGCAAAGCUGGUUUGGCAUAUGCAAAUCAAUCAGUGUGAUACAUCACAUUAACAGGCUGCAAGACAAAAACCACAUGAUCACAUCAAUUGAUGCAGG
This 1054-nucleotide long non-coding RNA is filed under the name Marmota monax (woodchuck). Lineage: Eukaryota; Metazoa; Chordata; Mammalia; Rodentia; Sciuridae. The record is from RNAcentral.